Molecule: ribosomal RNA, 881 nt
Filed under: uncultured Sphingobacteriaceae bacterium
Lineage: Bacteria; Pseudomonadati; Bacteroidota; Sphingobacteriia; Sphingobacteriales; Sphingobacteriaceae
Description: bacterial SSU rRNA
Rfam family: Bacterial small subunit ribosomal RNA
Source: RNAcentral
AUAGGAACAAGAUGGGCAUGCGGAACAUUAGCUAGUUGGUAAGGUAACGGCUUACCAAGGCUACGAUGUUUAGGGGAUCUGAGAGGAUGACCCNCCACAACUGGUACUGAGACACGGACCAGACUCCUACGGGAGGCAGCAGUAAGGAAUAUUGGUCAAUGGGCGCAAGCCUGAACCAGCCAUGCCGCGUGCAGGAAGACGGCCCUAUGGGUUGUAAACUGCUUUUAUACCGGAAUAAACCUUGAUACGUGUAUCAAGCUGAAUGUACGGUAAGAAUAAGGAUCGGCUAACUCCGUGCCAGCAGCCGCGGUAAUACGGAGGAUCCAAGCGUUAUCCGGAUUUAUUGGGUUUAAAGGGUGCGUAGGUGGUUCUUUAAGUCAGGGGUGAAAGACGGCAGCUUAACUGUCGCAGUGCCUUUGAUACUGAAGAACUUGAAUCCACUAGAGGUAGGCGGAAUGUGACAAGUAGCGGUGAAAUGCAUAGAUAUGUCACAGAACACCAAUUGCGAAGGCAGCUUACUAUGGUUUUAUUGACACUGAGGCACGAAAGCGUGGGGAUCAAACAGGAUUAGAUACCCUGGUAGUCCACGCCCUAAACGAUGAAUACUCGAUGUUGGCGAUAUACGGUCAGCGUCUAAGCGAAAGCGUUAAGUAUUCCACCUGGGGAGUACGCCCGCAAGGGUGAAACUCAAAGGAAUUGACGGGGGCCCGCACAAGCGGAGGAGCAUGUGGUUUAAUUCGAUGAUACGCGAGGAACCUUACCCGGGCUUGAAAGUUAGUGAAUAAAGCAGAGACGCUUUAGUCCUUCGGGACACGAAACUAGGUGCUGCAUGGCUGUCGUCAGCUCGUGCCGUGAGGUGUUGGGGUAAGUCCCGCAACGAG